This 21-nucleotide microRNA is filed under the name Ananas comosus (pineapple). RNAcentral describes it as "microRNA s0883_c117a". Lineage: Eukaryota; Viridiplantae; Streptophyta; Magnoliopsida; Poales; Bromeliaceae. The record is from RNAcentral.
AAACCAGUUACCGUGGUUUGU